Molecule: unclassified non-coding RNA, 399 nt
Filed under: Hevea brasiliensis (rubber tree)
Lineage: Eukaryota; Viridiplantae; Streptophyta; Magnoliopsida; Malpighiales; Euphorbiaceae
Source: RNAcentral
UUGGAUUGGACGCAAUAAACUCCUCGAAAGCGACCUUUACACGGUCCAAGAACCACAUAGACUCAGAUUUCUCCAGAUCUUCAUCGAAAAUGGCGAAAUAGGCAAAAGGUUCAUGGAUUAAAAAGGCAUAGGUCUUCUUGCGAAUGGUAUGGGAGAAGAUGGAGUGGUGAGGAGGGGUCUUCUCUAUGCAUUGCUUAGCUACAACUUCGAUUCCCGGCUCUUUGGACAACGACAACUCGGAAAGGAUUGUGGAUCCUUUUGCAAUGCAAGCAUAGAAGACGAGAUGUGGAUUCGAAAUCAUUUCCUUUUCCUUUGGUAUAAAUCAAGGAAAAGCAAAAUUUUCGAGAGAAAAUGGAUACCGAGAUGGAGAAAAAAAAAAAUUGCAUUGCAAGUACGAUA